CACAUUAACCUGUGCACUCUGUCGUCUCGGUCUAGAAAACUCUUGCCGGAUCAAGCGAAAUUAUUGCACCGGGUCUAAAGGGAAUUCUGCGUGGAGAAAGAGAGCUACAGUGUGAAAUUGGAUAUUCUGAAGCGAGCGGCAGGGAGGAAGCGCCAACAUGAGUGCGCAUCUCUGGGCACCCUCGUUAUCAAGAGAAGCAGUCCGGUCAAAAACACGCCCGAUGGAACCGAGCAGACAGGAGAGAAGUUGCAAAGAGGUUUAGCUCGACAUCAGAGGGGGGAUUCAUUCAGCUACAGCGACAAUAUUCAGCUCUUGCUCGGCUCGUCUCUACGUGUCCAAGGACUAAUCGUCGGAGUGGUGCGUUUUACGCGCAUCUUUUCCAGGAAUCCUGUCUCACGGUUGUACUUGUUUCAUUGCAAUGUGCGCCCGCGUGUCUGUGUUUCUGUGUGCGUUCAUUUGUGGAGGGCAGGAGCGGUGGUGCUACCAGACGCCGAGAAGAUAUUAAAUCACGCGGUCAUAUAGCUUACAGAAACUGAUGGGGUAAGCUAAAGUGUGAGAGAUUGCUCCUCACUUUGUCCGCUAGUAAAUCUUCACUUUAUCAGGCUCUGUCAGGCAGCCGCUUCCACACAAGAUUGAAAUGGCCGGCUCCGCGUAAAGUGCAGUCCGCGGAUAAAGGGAUUCUCCUUCUCUGCAGGGCUAAAUUGACUUGCGACUCCGCGUAAGAGUCAGGCAGGGAGGCACGCCGGCAGACAGGUUGAUAUGACUCUCACAUCCGACAAACUCAUCCCUUCUUUGCAGCAGCAAUGGAACUGGACAGCGAUGGAAAGGGCACAGGAAACCCGAAGCCCAUGUAGAUCGAUCAUGUAACUGCCAGGCAGCAUUGUAGUAUUAAUGGCUAUUUCAGCCCUGAAAUUGUCUGAUGCUCUGCUGACUCACAAAGGAUGGAACCUGCAUCCCUGACGGUAUUAAUGCACCACUCACUGAGGCAUGUCGGACCCCACCGUUGUCCAUUAUGCUGUGGCGAGUGCAGGUCUGGUGCCAGCACGACUCUGUUUUCACCUGCACGGAGGCUCUCACCGGGGGAGCAGAGACGCCCCAAAGUGUGUCAGCAAAGUGUCAGCAUCUGCAGGGAAAAGCCAAUCCCAGAAGCAGCAGCCACUGAGCCUGCUAUCACUUGUGAAACGCAACACCAACUCCAAUAGUGCUGAGGAAGCUCAAGAGAAGAGGCAGAAUGUGCUGUGCUGCGCUGUGGUCACACACCUUUGCAAUGACCUAUCAGAGUCGUGCAACCAACAAACCCCACGGCCCUUUCAAAUACCCUUUCUACUGAUCUGAAUAAUUGCCUGAGGAUUUUUUUUGAGGUCACGGCAGAAUUAUGACUCCAAAUGCCUAUGGUGGAACUUUGCUGAGUUUUCUAUAUUCAGUGAUGAGUAUAAUUAUCCUCUUUAAUUGAUUAAUUAUUAAUAGCACUAAGGUGACAUUGUGAGCCAGUAUUAGCUGUCUCCAGAUAACUGGAUCCCGUUACUGCAGCCUUAUUCAUCUAGAGUUUAUUCAGGGCACUACGUCGCCGGAAUCUGCUUCUCGGCUGUGGAAACAUUUCUCUUUUUAAUGUAUCAUUCAGAGAGUAAGCUCUUCAAACGCACACGCAGCCUGUGAUGCACUUAUCACCAUCCACGGCGUAGAUGAAUAGUCUGAUGCAGCGACACAGAGUAAAAGAAGAGCAAGGUCACAGCUUCUCUCCCUCAAAAAGAAUUUGGUCUGCGCGCAGCCAGGAAUUUGUCUUCAUGUCUACGGGAAUUAUUACGCACUCUGAUCCACAUUACUUCAAGGACGACAGCUCUCACAUUCUGCUUCAUUUACAAUCAGUAGCAUGAUGGCUUUCAAAUGCUAUUUCACCAAGAUGCUCGGCUAGAGAAAUGUGAUUUUAUAUUUAACAUUUGAAGUGAUGACUCCCUCCUUCCAUGGAGAUUACUCGUGAAGUGGUUCGAGUCACUUAACUGUUACUGGAAGAGACAAACCUCUCAUGCUUUUAUUCUCCAUAGAGAAACUUGUGCAAACUAAAACUGCGUAAUUUGGUUAUUUGACCUUGUUAUAUAUCCUUCCUCUGUGGAGAUUUUUUAUUUUAUUUUAUUUAUUUAUUUUUUCAAACCAAUGCCAUACACCUAUAGUCAAUUUUUAGGUAAAGAGAACAUGUGGGUUUUUGCACCUUUGAACAAAGCAGAGAUGGCUGAUGUGCAUGUGCAUGUGCGUGCAUGUAUAUAUCUCUAAGCAGAUGUACAGAGCGCGGUGUCUGGUGUUUGCUUGGGAGCCAGGGCCACUGGUACAGACUACUACACCAUGCAUAAUCUGGUUGAGGAGAACAAAGAUGUUCUACAAACAGUGUUUGUUUGGAUCAGGACGAUCCCAGCAUCCAGAACCCGAGGGAACAGUGGGUCAUUCACAAGACACAGAGCGGAGGGACCCAGCGGAGGGACGAGCUCCAGGUCUCUUUAAAAAUUCAGCAUAUCCCCAGACUCCAGGGCCUAGAGAAUAACAAGGAGAGGAAUAGGGAGGAAUUGUAACGUCUUCUUAUGAGCUUUUUACAGUAAAAACGAUGGGACUGGUUGAGAGUUCAUGUUCAAAGUCAAACCCGGUUACAUUGGUAAACUGACUGCAGGCAGUCCUCUUUGCAUAUUGCACAAUAGAUGAGAAAAUAGUUUCUAAUACCCAGAAUGUGUAAUAAAGAGUCGGGUUUACCCCGGCGUCUGUCUAAUUAUCCAGGAAGAUGGUUUAAGGUCAUCAUUAAAAGUUGUCAGGUGCUUAUGCGUAACUCUUAUGAGUUAAAUAGGCGGCGGGGGAUCUUGCAUAGAAAUUGGGGCACUUGUUUGUUUGUUAGCUCCCUGUGGCUUCGCGCGAAACAGCAAAUGAAUGAGCGCAAAGCCUCACGCCCAAAGUGUCUGCCAGACGAGACUUUACGCUCUCAAGUCAAAUCCCUGACGACCAGCUGAUUGCUGUGAGCCAAGCUGGAGGCUUAAAAUACAAAUAGACACGUUUAAUGUGCGUGUACAGACCCACAGUAUGUAACGUGUUUUUGGGAACAUCCCAAGCAAGUAGUUGCCAUUUGGAAUUUGAAUUUAAAUAACCCCUUUACAGUAAUUUUGUUAAUGUACAUAUACCUGUGAUAGAGCUCGGGGAUUAUUUAAUUUUGGGAAUUCUUGAUGCAGAUUUUCAUCAAGCUACUUCCUCGUGGAUGUGGGAAUGGCACUGUGCAGCGAGGCCCUCAUGAUUUGCCUGCAAGAACACAGCCUCCAUAUCACACAGUGAUCAGAGGAGCCAGACCAU
Long non-coding RNA from Mugil cephalus (flathead mullet), 3321 nucleotides. RefSeq lists it as uncharacterized. The record is from RefSeq and is a predicted model, not a curated record. The transcript is spliced from 4 exons. Lineage: Eukaryota; Metazoa; Chordata; Actinopteri; Mugiliformes; Mugilidae.